GUCAUUGUCUGGUGUUAAACGCCCACAAUUUUUAAUGUAAACCCCUUCGAUGAGGUUCACUGUCUCUCGUAUUCUACAAAUCUCCCUCGAAUAGAUUCUGCACGAUUGAUUACUUGCAUUAUUCGCGCAAAUUACGCCAGGAUUGUUAUUAGACGACGCGAUCAAAGAAAUCCAUUCCUUUUUCGAAAAUACAACAGUAAACACUGAGGAACGAAGAAAAGGUCAUUGCGAAGAAAUCCAUUCUUUCUUCGAAGAUACCACAGUUAACACUGAGUAACGAAGAAAAGGUCAUUGCGAAGGU
Long non-coding RNA from Pocillopora damicornis (cauliflower coral), 301 nucleotides. NCBI's taxonomy places the organism in Eukaryota, Metazoa, Cnidaria, Anthozoa, Scleractinia, Pocilloporidae. The record is from RefSeq and is a predicted model, not a curated record.